CCUACGGGUGGCAGCAGUAGGGCAUUUUGCGCAAUGGGCGAAAGCCUGACGCAGCAACGCCGCGUGAACGAGACGCCCUUCGGGGUGUAAAGUUCUGUCAGUGGGGACGAAAGAUGACGGUACCCACAGAGGAAGCACCGGCUAACUCCGUGCCAGCAGCCGCGGUAAUACGGGGGGUGCAAGCGUUGUCCGGAAUCAUUGGGCGUAAAGAGUUCGUAGGCGGUAUGUUAAGUCUGGUGUUAAAUGCAGAAGCUCAACUUCUGUUCGGCACUGGAUACUGGCAAACUAGAAUGCGGUAGAGGUAAAGGGAAUUCCUGGUGUAGCGGUGAAAUGCUUAGAUAUCAGGAGGAACAUCGGUGGCGAAAGCGGCUCUCUGGUCUGUAACUGACGCUGAGGUUCGAAAGCGUGGGUAGCAAACAGGAUUAGAUACCCUAGUAGUC
Molecule: ribosomal RNA, 440 nt
Filed under: uncultured bacterium
Lineage: Bacteria
Description: partial 16S ribosomal RNA
Rfam family: Bacterial small subunit ribosomal RNA
Source: RNAcentral